UGGGGUGGGUAAAAUUUCACUCUAAAAGCUAAAUUAUUGGCCCAGAGACACCGAAUAAGCGGCAACAGUGUAGAAGUGAUCGAAAGGAUGAAAAAGCAACUUUGGAAAAGAGAAAGUCCAACCCAGUACGUGGAAAUUGUUUGAAAGGGGAAGCGGCUUGCAAACCAGAACUUGCCCGGCGGGUGAUCCAGCCGGGUAUUUUUACCGGUCCCACCCGCCCCGUGGGUCAGGGCCAGCAUCGGUUUGGGCGGCGGGAUAAAAGUCCUCCGGAAUGUAGCUCCUUUCGGGGAGUGUUAUAGCCGGGGGUGCAAUGCUGCCCGCCUGGACCGAGGACCGCGCUUUGGCUCGGAUGCUGGCGUAAUGGUUGUAAGCGACCCGUCUUGAAACACGGACCAAGGAGUCUAACAUCUAUGCGAGUGUUUGGGUGUCAAACCCAUGCGCGUAAUGAAAGUGAACGGAGGUGGGAACCCUCCAGGGUGCACCAUCGACCGAUCCUGAUGUCUUCGGAUGGAUUUGAGUAAGAGCAUAGCUGUUGGGACCCGAAAGAUGGUGAACUAUGCCUGAAUAGGGUGAAGCCAGAGGAAACUCUGGUGGAGGCUCGCAGCGGUUCUGACGUGCAAAUCGAUCGUC
RNAcentral lists this ribosomal RNA (630 nucleotides) under Acarospora sp. RNAcentral describes it as "partial large subunit ribosomal RNA". It matches the Rfam family "Eukaryotic large subunit ribosomal RNA", at positions 289 to 906 of the family's 3401-position model. The record is from RNAcentral. Lineage: Eukaryota; Fungi; Ascomycota; Lecanoromycetes; Acarosporales; Acarosporaceae.